Molecule: ribosomal RNA, 278 nt
Filed under: uncultured bacterium
Lineage: Bacteria
Description: partial 16S ribosomal RNA
Rfam family: Bacterial small subunit ribosomal RNA
Source: RNAcentral
CUUGCUUUCUUUGCUGGCGACCGGCGCACGGGUGAGUAACACGUAUCCAACCUGCCCUUUACUCGGGGAUAGCCUUUCGAAAGAAAGAUUAAUACCCGAUAGCAUAAUGAUUCCGCAUGGUUUCAUUAUUAAAGGAUUCCGGUAAAGGAUGGGGAUGCGUUCCAUUAGGUUGUUGGUGAGGUAACGGCUCACCAAGCCUUCGAUGGAUAGGGGUUCUGAGAGGAAGGUCCCCCACAUUGGAACUGAGACACGGUCCAAACUCCUACGGGAGGAGCAUG